UACGUAGGUGGCGAGCGUUGUCCGGAUUUACUGGGCGUAAAGGGAGCGUAGGCGGACUUUUAAGUGAGAUGUGAAAUACUCGGGCUCAACUUGAGUGCUGCAUUUCAAACUGGAAGUCUAGAGUGCAGGAGAGGAGAAUGGAAUUCCUAGUGUAGCGGUGAAAUGCGUAGAGACUAGGAAGAACACCAGUGGCGAAGGCGAUUCUCUGGACUGUAACUGACGCUGAGGCUCGAAAGCGUGGGGAGCAAACAGG
This 253-nucleotide ribosomal RNA is filed under the name uncultured bacterium. RNAcentral's name for it is "partial 16S ribosomal RNA". It matches the Rfam family "Bacterial small subunit ribosomal RNA", at positions 524 to 776 of the family's 1533-position model. The record is from RNAcentral.